UGCAGUCGCUCGAUGACUGGAGCUUGCUCCAGGGAUUAGUGGCGAACGGGUGAGUAACACGUGAGUAACCUGCCCUUGACUCUGGGAUAAGCGCUAGAAAUGGCGUCUAAUACCGGAUACGAGCUUCAGCCGCAUGGCUAGGAGUUGGAAAGAAUUUUGGUCAAGGAUGGACUCGCGGCCUAUCAGCUAGUUGGUGAGGUAAUGGCUCACCAAGGCGACGACGGGUAGCCGGCCUGAGAGGGUGACCGGCCACACUGGGACUGAGACACGGCCCAGACUCCUACGGGAGGCAGCAGUGGGGAAUAUUGCACAAUGGGCGAAAGCUUGAUGCAGCAACGCCGCGUGAGGGAUGACGGCCUUCGGGUUGUAAACCUCUUUUAGUAGGGAAGAAGCGAAAGUGACGGUACCUGCAGAAAAAGCACCGGCUAACUACGUGCCAGCAGCCGCGGUAAUACGUAGGGUGCAAGCGUUGUCCGGAAUUAUUGGGCGUAAAGAGCUCGUAGGCGGUUUGUCGCGUCUGCUGUGAAAUCUGGGGGCUCAACCCCCAGCCUGCAGUGGGUACGGGCAGACUAGAGUGCGGUAGGGGAGAUUGGAAUUCCUGGUGUAGCGGUGGAAUGCGCAGAUAUCAGGAGGAACACCGAUGGCGAAGGCAGAUCUCUGGGCCGUAACUGACGCUGAGGAGCGAAAGCAUGGGGAGCGAACAGGAUUAGAUACCCUGGUAGUCCAUGCCGUAAACGUUGGGAACUAGAUGUGGGGGCCAUUCCACGGUCUCCGUGUCGCAGCUAACGCAUUAAGUUCCCCGCCUGGGGAGUACGGCCGCAAGGCUAAAACUCAAAGGAAUUGACGGGGGCCCGCACAAGCGGCGGA
RNAcentral lists this ribosomal RNA (867 nucleotides) under Frigoribacterium sp. RNAcentral's name for it is "bacterial SSU rRNA". It matches the Rfam family "Bacterial small subunit ribosomal RNA", at positions 56 to 936 of the family's 1533-position model. The record is from RNAcentral. Lineage: Bacteria; Bacillati; Actinomycetota; Actinomycetes; Micrococcales; Microbacteriaceae.